This 480-nucleotide ribosomal RNA is filed under the name uncultured bacterium. RNAcentral describes it as "partial 16S ribosomal RNA". It matches the Rfam family "Bacterial small subunit ribosomal RNA", at positions 28 to 523 of the family's 1533-position model. The record is from RNAcentral.
AAUGAACGUUGGCGGCGUGGAUUAGGCAUGCAAGUCGAGCGCGAACCCCGCAAGGGGUGAAAGCGGCGAAAGGGAGAGUAACGCGUGGGUAUCUACCCUCGGGACUGGGAUAGCUGCGGGAAACUGCAGGUAAUACCAGAUGACGUCCCCGGACCAAAGGUGUGAUUCCGCCUGAGGAUGAGCCCGCGUCCUAUUAGCUAGUUGGUGGGGUAAUGGCCUACCAAGGCAAUGAUGGGUACUGGGUGUGAGAGCACGACCCAGCUCACUGGGACUGAGACACCGCCCAGACACCUACGGGUGGCUGCAGUCGAGAAUCUUCGGCAAUGGGCGAAAGCCUGACCGAGCGACGCCGCGUGUGGGAUGAGGGCCUUCGGGUUGUAAACCGCUGUCAGAGGGGAGGAAUGGGCGGAGGGUAAUCUCUUCGUUUUGACCUAUCCUCAGAGGAAGUACGGGCUAAGUUCGUGCCAGCCGCCGCGGUAA